This 633-nucleotide ribosomal RNA is filed under the name uncultured eukaryote. RNAcentral describes it as "SSU rRNA". It matches the Rfam family "Eukaryotic small subunit ribosomal RNA", at positions 341 to 999 of the family's 1831-position model. The record is from RNAcentral.
CUACCAUGGCAGUCACGGGUAACGGAGAAUUAGGGUUCGAUUCCGGAGAGGGAGCCUGAGAAACGGCUACCACAUCUACGGAAGGCAGCAGGCGCGCAAAUUGCCCAAUCCCGACACGGGGAGGCAGUGACAAGAAAUAACAACUCUAGGUUUUCUUAGAAGUGUAAUGGGGAUAAUUUACAAACCUUACCAAAUGCAAUUGGAGGGCAAGUCUGGUGCCAGCAGCCGCGGUAAUUCCAGCUCCAAUAGCGUAUAUUAAAGUUGUUGCAGUUAAAAAGCUCGUAGUUGAAAAUCUGAUUGCUCAGGUCUCCAGCCUUUAGGCGGGGAUUCUGACAGUCAUCCGCUUGCAAACAUAUGUUCGAUCUUCACCGGUUGGCUAUGUGAGUAAGCACCUUACCUUGAGAAAAACAGAGUGUUCCAGGCAGGUUUGUCCGGAAUGCAUUAGCAUGGAAUAAUAGAACAUGACUGAAGUCUAUUUAUUGGUUAAAGGCUUUAGUAAUGAUUAAUAGGAACAGUCGGGGGCAUUCGUACUCAGCAGUCAGAGGUGAAAUUCUAAGAUUUGCUGAAGACGAACUAAUGCGAAAGCAUUUGCCAAGGAUGUUUUCAUUAAUCAAGAACGAAAGUUAGGGGAUC